RNAcentral lists this ribosomal RNA (253 nucleotides) under uncultured bacterium. Its description in RNAcentral is "partial 16S ribosomal RNA". It matches the Rfam family "Bacterial small subunit ribosomal RNA", at positions 524 to 776 of the family's 1533-position model. The record is from RNAcentral.
UACAGGGGGUGCUAGCGUUGUUCGGAUUUACUGGGCGUAAAGGGCGCGUAGGCGGUUUAGAAAGUCAGAUGUGAAAGCCCGGGGCUUAACUCCGGAAGUGCAUUUGAAACUUCUAGGCUAGAGUACAGUAGAGGUUGGUGGAAUUCCCAGUGUAGAGGUGAAAUUCGUAGAUAUUGGGAGGAACACCAGUGGCGAAGGCGGCCAACUGGGCUGUAACUGACGCUGAGGCGCGAAAGCGUGGGGAUCAAACAGG